CGUAGGGUGCAAGCGUUGUCCGGAAUUAUUGGGCGUAAAGAGCUCGUAGGCGGUUGGUCGCGUCGGCUGUGAAAUCCCGGAGCUCAACUCCGGGCCCGUGCAGUCGAUACGGGCCGGACUUGAGUGUUGCAGGGGAGGACUGGAAUUCCUGGUGUAGCGGUGAAAUAGCGCAGAUAUCAGGAGGAACACCGGUGGCGAAGGCGGGUCGUCUGGGCGAACAACUGACGCUGAGGAGCGAAAGACGUGGGGGGAGGCGAACAGGAUU
This 265-nucleotide ribosomal RNA is filed under the name uncultured bacterium. RNAcentral describes it as "partial 16S ribosomal RNA". It matches the Rfam family "Bacterial small subunit ribosomal RNA", at positions 526 to 779 of the family's 1533-position model. The record is from RNAcentral.